AAGUCGUAACAAGGUAACCGUAGGUGAACCUGCGGUUGGAUCAUUAUAAAGAUUCGUUGGCUUGUGGAUCAGAUGUUUUAUAUUCUUUUCCACAGCAUAAAGCCUCCAACACCCUUGUGAACCAUUGGAAUGUCAUUGUUGGUUUCCUGUUCUCCCAUCUUUUUUUUUUUAAUUUGGGAGAACCCUUUCCAGUAUUUCCUCCAGGGGAUUCACUGAGUGGACAUCUGAAAGACUGUGCUUGAAUUUUGUUUGAUAACUGAAUGUGAUAUUGGGAUAAUGAGAAACAACUUUAGACAACGGAUCUCUUGGCUCUC
RNAcentral lists this unclassified non-coding RNA (314 nucleotides) under fungal sp. RNAcentral's name for it is "partial internal transcribed spacer region". The stretch from base 1 to 46 matches the Rfam family "Eukaryotic small subunit ribosomal RNA", at positions 1786 to 1831 of the family's 1831-position model. Lineage: Eukaryota; Fungi. The record is from RNAcentral.